RNAcentral lists this ribosomal RNA (417 nucleotides) under uncultured bacterium. RNAcentral describes it as "bacterial SSU rRNA". It matches the Rfam family "Bacterial small subunit ribosomal RNA", at positions 945 to 1359 of the family's 1533-position model. The record is from RNAcentral.
UUUAAUUCGAAGCAACGCGCAGAACCUUACCAACCUUUGACAUGUCCAGUAUGGUCGCCAGAGAUGGCUUCCUUCAGUUCGGCUGGCUGGAACACAGGUGCUGCAUGGCUGUCGUCAGCUCGUGUCGUGAGAUGUUGGGUUAAGUCCCGCAACGAGCGCAACCCUCGCCCUUAGUUGCCAUCAUUCAGUUGGGCACUCUAAGGGGACUGCCGGUGAUAAGCCGCGAGGAAGGUGGGGAUGACGUCAAGUCCUCAUGGCCCUUACAGGUUGGGCUACACACGUGCUACAAUGGCGGUGACAAUGGGCAGCGAACCCGCGAGGGGGAGCUAAUUCCAAAAAGCCGUCUCAGUUCAGAUUGCACUCUGCAACUCGAGUGCAUGAAGGCGGAAUCGCUAGUAAUCGUGGAUCAGCACGCCA